Molecule: long non-coding RNA, 263 nt
Organism: Suricata suricatta (meerkat)
Lineage: Eukaryota; Metazoa; Chordata; Mammalia; Carnivora; Herpestidae
Exons: 2
Source: RefSeq, a predicted model, not a curated record
CAUCAUUCUUUCCCAUUUGUAAAAUGUAGUUGUCAGUUUGAAUUAGUUUUCACAUGGCAACAUUAACAAAUUAUUAUUGAUAUAGGCUUUUCAAUUUGCUCAAGAUUAUGAAUCGUAAGUGGAAUGAAGCAGCAUUUCCAGUUGACAAACGGAUCUGCAGGAAAAGGAAGAAAGGGGAUGCAUUUAGGCUGAAGUCCCCCAAAGACCCUGAGCUAGUGUACAUACAAUAUGGCACCUAUUUUAUAAAUCAUGUUUGCACUGCA